GAUCAUGGCUCAGGACGAACGCUGGCGGCGUGCUUAACACAUGCAAGUCGAACGGGGCACCCUUGAAUGAGACUUCGGUCAAAGGAAAGGAAUGCUUAGUGGCGGACUGGUGAGUAACGCGUGAGGAACCUGCCUUUCAGGGGGGGACAACAGCUGGAAACGGCUGCUAAUACCGCAUGACGCAUUCGGAUGGCAUCAUCUGAAUGCCAAAGAUUUAUCGCUGAAAGAUGG
Molecule: ribosomal RNA, 231 nt
Filed under: uncultured bacterium
Lineage: Bacteria
Description: partial 16S ribosomal RNA
Rfam family: Bacterial small subunit ribosomal RNA
Source: RNAcentral